RNA transcript from Eucalyptus grandis, 2082 nucleotides. RefSeq lists it as uncharacterized. The transcript is spliced from 7 exons. The record is from RefSeq and is a predicted model, not a curated record. NCBI's taxonomy places the organism in Eukaryota, Viridiplantae, Streptophyta, Magnoliopsida, Myrtales, Myrtaceae.
UUUUUUUUUUUUUUUUUGGGAAUUGGUUUGCCGUCAUAGAUGCUUGUGUCAGUUUUCUGGUAAAUGCCAGGAUUGUCCUAGUCGCUCGAGGACGCGUGAGCCGAGGAUAAAUUGAAUUGUUUCCUGGUCGAAGAGAUGGAGAGCUCGUUUACGUAUUAUUCACUUGAUCGUGCAUGGAAAUUUCCGACUCUGAGACGCAGUAAUUUCAAAAUUUUCUUCAGAUUUUCCGAUUAAUGUCAGCAUGAAAUUCAGUUUUUGAUCGUUGGUUUUCUUUUAGUGUGCUUAGCUGAUUGCAUUGGACAUGGACAGAUUGAUUGACUUGAUUAUGUUUGAUGCUUAAUUUGCAUAUUAAGCCCCCUCUUACUUCUCCCGUGGAUCGCCUUUCUCGAGUACUUUCAGUUGGAAUCGGAGGUUCAGCUCUUGGGCCACGGUCUGUUGCAGAGGCAUUGGCUCCCGAUAAUCCUCUAUUGAAGUGUCGAAGACCAGAGUGUCCAUCCUCCUCUCGCAAUCUACCCUUCAGCCUUCCAGGAGUUGGUAUUGCUCUAUGCUGAAGAAGUGGACGAAACUGAUGUUCAAGGUGAAUCUGAGUUCAAAUCAUUGGAUGUAUAGAUCUAUGAGAGAAUCCCUAUUUCAGCUUUGCCAUUAAAUUCCUUAUGAUAUCUGACAUUACCAUGUUUGUCGUUUAUUUAAUUUUUCCACAUGAAUCGAUGAGCUCUAAACUUCUAGAAUUGAAUUCGCUGCAUUUUUUUACAAUUGAUUAGGAUAUCUUUCCUCACAAAGUAUCAUUCUGUAUCAUGGACACGUUGGAGAGUUUGGAUUAGCAGUGCACAUCAAGUCCAGUUCAAGGCAAGAACCAGGCAGAGCCAUCCUAAUCAAAGUCCGUUUCAGAUUAAGCUCCCUCCUACUUCUCCCAUGGAUCGCUUUACUAAGUACUUUCAGUUGGAAUCGGAGGUUCAGCUCUUGGGCCACAGUUUGUUGCAGAGGCAUUGGCUUCCGAUAAUUCUCCAUUGGAGAUUAGAUUCAUUGACAACACAGAUCUGGCUGGAAUUGACCAUCAAAUUGCGUAGCUUGGUACUGAGCUGGCUUCUACCCUAUUAAUUGUGAUAUUAAAGAGUGGUGGUACUCCAGAAAUUUGAGAUGGCUUAUUGGAAGUACAUAAGGCCUUUCAUGAAGUGGGAUUGGAAUUUGCAAAACGGAUAUUGCAUUGAUCACUGUUUUUCCAAUUUUGAGUGCUGGGUGUUGCCAUAACACGAGAACUUCUUGUUGGACAAUACUGCCCGGAUUGAGGGCUGGUUGGCUAGAGAUCCAAUGCUUGACUGGAUGGGAGGCAAAACAUCUGAAAUGUCUGUAGUUUGUCUACUUUCAACAGCCCUUCAAGUUCGUAAGCCUAACUUCUAAUCUCAUUGUGGUUAUAUUCUGAUUGGACUCAGAGCAUAUUCAUUAGUGACUCCAACUUCAGGGGAUUGAUAUCAGAGAAAUGCUUGCUGGCGCAUCCUGAUGGAUGAGGCAACUAGGACGAAUGUGGUAAGAUUGCUGUCAACUAAUGUUAUUUGGUGUUUCUUCGGAACAUUCUGUUAUUACCUAAGUCCAGUAAAGGAAUUAGUUUCGGUAUCAGUGGGACAACUUAUGGUGUAAAUCCCUGCUCUGUGUGUAGUACUCAGGAUUCUGCAUGUGCACUUUUAUGAUGUAGGAAGCUGGGUUGCCAGAAUGAACUAAGUACGGUUGAGAUAUCAGUCUUGAUUAUAGAUAGCUAAUCAGGCAUUCAAGGAUGUCAGCUAACAAGUUGAACAGUUGUCUCUGAUAGUAUACAUUGUGAUGUAUGCAAGAGUAACUUGUGAACUUAUAUGCAGCAGAAUUGUCACUCGUAUCCCGGCAUUAUGCACUGAGAAGAUUUUGUAGUGUAUGUGCUAUAGGAUGUCACCCAAUAUAAUUCAUUGUAAACUAGAAUGUAGAUGAUCCAUUUGAUCCAUUUAGGCUCAUGACUGGCAAUUCCAAUUGUUGUUGCUGAGUUGCUUCAAGGCAUGUUCAUUUCCAGUUGCUGAUGCACGCUACAGUGAAUCAAAGUACAGCCUUUUGGUUUCA